Salvelinus sp. IW2-2015 is the source of this 898-nucleotide non-coding RNA. The record is from RefSeq and is a predicted model, not a curated record. Lineage: Eukaryota; Metazoa; Chordata; Actinopteri; Salmoniformes; Salmonidae.
AACACCAAUAGAAAAACAUGACAUGUGAUUUUUAUUCCCCAGGAAAUCAUGUACAUAAGCACUUGUACUGAAUUCACCACUACCUCCUGUGUUUGUCCUGUAUUGGUUCUACAUUCCUUGAUGAGCCCAAUGGUCUCAUGAAAUGUGCACCAUGUUCCAGCUGUGAUUCAGAUUUGGGUUUGAGGGUGAAACAGCCAUGCAAAGCACAAUCAGAUGAUUUUUGUGAGCCACUGGAGGGGUUCUUUUGUUGGUUCUCAAACAAAAAUGGUUGUARRAUAGCCCAGAAACACAGAARCUGUAAACCUGGUCAWUACAUCMAUCACACAGGUUGGUCUCCUUUCAAGUAUUCAACAUGAUUUUGUCAUGAUUUCUAGUGUGCCAAGUUAUUCUACUGAAUUAAAARUAGCUGAUUAUUUGAUUGAAAUCAUUAGACAAUUAAAAUCCAGAGUYAAGAUUAGUACAUGGGGAAAGUUUAAGUACGAUGGUCACAAGUUUGUUUUGGGAAGACAAUUCUUUAAUUAUUUUUUAUUUAAACUUAUAUUUCAAUCCUCUGUUUAUGCAGGAACAACAUCUACAGAUACUGUGUGUUCUGACUGUACUGGUGAUACCUAUUCAGAUGGAUCAUUAACAGCCUGCCAGCCACACACAGAAUGUGAAUCCUUGGGACUUCAGGAAAUUAAACCAGGAUCUCCUUGGUCGGAUUCAGAGUGUGGACCACAGCUAUCCCAUUCCACAGAUAGAAGCAGAAUUGUUUCCCUGGCAGUUGUCAUUAUAUUACCUGGAGGGGCUUUCUUAUUAAUAAUGGUGGGAAGAAGGUACAGAAGGAUCCUUAACAGCUUCUGCUGUUAAGACUGCUGAACAUUUAAUCAAAUGGCCACCCGGACUAUUUACAUUGGCA